Molecule: ribosomal RNA, 410 nt
Filed under: bacterium enrichment culture clone ALO1_GLFRUDD03F6RCM
Lineage: Bacteria
Description: bacterial SSU rRNA
Rfam family: Bacterial small subunit ribosomal RNA
Source: RNAcentral
GAGUUUGAUCGUGGCUCAGAUUGAACGCUGGCGGCAUGCCUUACACAUGCAAGUCGAACGGCAGCACGGGAGCUUGCUCCUGGUGGCGAGUGGCGAACGGGUGAGUAAUACAUCGGAACGUAUCCUGGAGUGGGGGAUAACGUAGCGAAAGUUACGCUAAUACCGCAUAUUCUGUGAGCAGGAAAGCGGGGGACCUUCGGGCCUCGCGCUCUUGGAGCGGCCGAUGUCGGAUUAGCUAGUUGGUGAGGUAAAGGCUCACCAAGGCGACGAUCCGUAGCAGGUCUGAGAGGAUGAUCUGCCACACUGGAACUGAGACACGGUCCAGACUCCUACGGGAGGCAGCAGUGGGGAAUUUUGGACAAUGGGGGCAACCCUGAUCCAGCCAUGCCGCGUGAGUGAAGAAGGCCUUC